GAGGUCUCUGUGGAUGAU
RNAcentral lists this unclassified non-coding RNA (18 nucleotides) under Mus musculus (house mouse). RNAcentral's name for it is "oocyte_clustered_small_RNA6277". The record is from RNAcentral. Lineage: Eukaryota; Metazoa; Chordata; Mammalia; Rodentia; Muridae.